Scylla paramamosain (green mud crab) is the source of this 759-nucleotide long non-coding RNA. RefSeq lists it as uncharacterized. The record is from RefSeq and is a predicted model, not a curated record. Lineage: Eukaryota; Metazoa; Arthropoda; Malacostraca; Decapoda; Portunidae. The transcript is spliced from 2 exons.
UCUCCUUUAAAAAAUGUAAAACUUUUGUUAAUGUUAUUAAAACCCGAUGUACUUCAGCUAGAGCUUUUUGAAACUAGUUGAGGUGUAGCAGGAAAGUGUUUCAGAAUAUGGUUCUUAGAUGUGAGGGGAUUACUAUGUGAGGGGGUGUGGUGAGUGACUGUGGUUCAUAAACAUACUGUGGGCUGAGAGAGAGAGAGAGAGAGAGAGAGAGAGAGAGAGAGAGAGAGAGAGAGAGAGAGAGAGAGAGAGAGAGAGAGAGAGAGAGAGAGAGAGAGAGAGACUGGUCAGUGUGUAUGUAAACUCAUUUUAGGUAAAAGAGAGAGAGAGAAGAGACUGACUGACUGACUGACUGACUGACUGACUGGUCAGUGUGUAUGUAAACUCAUUUUAGGUAUGUAGAUAUACCUGUAAUCCAUCUUUAGUCACGAAGGAUAGAUAUCUUGUAAAGACUUUGCAUAAUGUGCCAUCACCAGUAAUUACUUGAGUGACAAUGUGGAUGAGUCACUAAAGUGUUAGUUAAUCUUUGUGACUAAAACCAAUAUACUUUGCAGACAAGUGAGUGGCCAAGACAAGACCUGGUGAUCCAUGCUGAUAGCUGGUCCCUGUCCUCCUCCUCCUCCUCCUCCUGACUUGUCUCCUGCACUGCCAGCACUCCAGUGUGUGUGUGUGGGAUGUGGCUCUCUGUGGAUAACAAAUGUACUGUAUGAAAUCCAGAACAUUUUCUGUAUCACAAAUAAAACAUUGUAUGACAAGUUAAAA